GCAACUUUAUCCAAGAGUCAAAUGAUGUUUAUUAUGGCAUGACAAAAACAGGCUGUUUUGAUAAAUUACUUUAUUGCUUGGAGGUAACAUGAAACUUUUCAACUAGAGGCCCCAUCCCUAUUCACCCUUGAGGUUUUGUAGGAUAUUGAAAAUGUAGCAGUAUUGUUCACAUAUUUUAAAGGCUGUGGAAAACCAAAUAGCAUUUAACUGAUCUAAAAAUAAGGAGCAAAACUCCACUGUGCCACAGUACAGAACAUCACACAGUUGUGAAAUAGAGUAAGCUGAACAGCAGCAUAGAGCUGCAGCCUGACUGCAGUUCCUGCUGAAAGAAUAAAUCCCCCUACUUCCUCUGCCUGAGCACACGCUCCCCAUGCUAAAUGCAGGCACUUACUGACCUUGCCAAGAGUCAGCUAAGGGAGCUAACCCAGCAAUAAACAAAUUGUGACUGCCCCUUUAAGUUACAGUUCACUGUAAAAUGUAAAGCCACGUCCUGAGGUCUAUGACUAUUCUGCUAGUCUUGGAAAGAAUUCUCCGCCUUACAUUCCCUGUCUCUAAAAAGCUCUGCUUCUCUUCUACAUCACUAAGGCAUUCAGCUUAUUAUAUACAUUCUUAGAAACUAGCUGGAAAGCAAUUAUGGUUUACUGAAAUGAAAUAGCUCCAUAAUGGAAAGUUAGCAGACCAGUGUGUAAUACAACAUUCACUAAACAGAAUGUAACACUUAGAUCAGAGGGUAGAAAUUUACACUGAACCGACUCACCUAUAGCAGAUUAGUAAAUACAAACUCUGAUUUUUAAAGCAGAAGAGGAACUUUCUCUGCAAGUACUCACAAGGUUGCUCAAAUACAGAUGAGCAAACUUUAUUUUUAAGAGAGAAGUAAGAGCAAUUUAAGGCCGAAGUACUAGCAAAGGAAGACUAAUAGGUGAAAGUAGACAACAAUUUCUUAAUAAAAUUGUGCAGGCAUUUGCAAGGUUAUGCCUCUAUUAGCUAACCUGUAAAGCUGUUCCCAGGAAAAGAUACUAGAGAAAAUAGACAUUUAUACAAAAUUAUAAAAUACUUGUUAUAUGAAUUAUUGCUUUACAAAGGACAUAAGCAUCCUUUUUCUAUGAUAGUACCAAUUAGGUCUCUCAAAAUUUCUAAGGUUUGUUAAAAAUGGAACUUGAAUUAUGCAAAAAAUCCAAUAUAAACUUUCUACAAAAAAGUCCAUCCCAUUCCUGAGUAUGCUAAAGCUAUGAGAGUCAGAAGAAGCGCUGAGGAAGCAGCAGUCCUCACAGUAAGAAAUUUAAGGACAUUUUCUUUCUACACAUUGUUUCCCUCCUUCUUCAUAUUCUUGUUUAGAAAUCCACAUUUGUUGAAAAGUACCCAAAGAAGCCAAAAUUGAACCACCGAUCCAUGAGCUGAACCUCCGCUCCACUGUGGUGUUGUUUGCUAUCAAUUUCAGACGCAUGCUCGGUGGAGUUUUCUGAGACAGCUCUCUGUUCAACCUGUCUGUGAAACUCUGUAUUAGUGUGUUCCCUCCUGCUACAAUCACACUGCCAUAGAGGCCCGGCCUGAUGUCUAUAUCACACAUCCCAACACUUGUCGUGACAACGUGACUCACUCCCAACAUCGUGUUACCAGACAAGCCCUUUACAUUAGAAGGGUCAAAUAAUCCCUCAGGAAUUUUUAGACGCUCAGCACCAAAGUCACAGUUAUAGCCAUUGGGGAACUCAUAAUGAACCGUUGGCAUCUGUGCAGCUACCUGUUCAUCAUAGGUUGAAUCUGACACUUGGAGGACGGAAGCUUGGAAGUCCUGAAUGACACAAUUACACAUGUAGUUGUGCCAAGACCUGGUGACCUGGGGUAACUUCUCUUUUCUCUUCCAAUUUGCUGGUGACCCCUCACGAACUGCCUCCUUUGAAGCAAUCAUAUAUGGAGGAAUUAACUCUAUAUUCAUUUCC
This 1937-nucleotide long non-coding RNA is filed under the name Gallus gallus (chicken). The record is from RNAcentral. Lineage: Eukaryota; Metazoa; Chordata; Aves; Galliformes; Phasianidae.